Molecule: microRNA precursor, 84 nt
Filed under: Eptesicus fuscus (big brown bat)
Lineage: Eukaryota; Metazoa; Chordata; Mammalia; Chiroptera; Vespertilionidae
Description: microRNA efu-mir-92a precursor
Gene: efu-mir-92a
Rfam family: mir-92 microRNA precursor family
About the family: This family represents the microRNA precursor mir-92. Human miR-92 has two predicted hairpin precursor sequences: mir-92-1 on chromosome 13 and mir-92-2 on chromosome X. miR-92 has also been cloned from mouse embryonic stem cells. The mature sequence is excised from the 3' arm of the hairpin.
Source: miRBase by way of RNAcentral
CAUUCAUCCAUGGGUGGGGAUUUGUUGCAUUACUUGUGUUUAUAUAUAAAGUAUUGCACUUGUCCCGGCCUGUGGAAGAAAAGA